Long non-coding RNA from Fukomys damarensis (Damara mole-rat), 4412 nucleotides. RefSeq lists it as uncharacterized. The record is from RefSeq and is a predicted model, not a curated record. The transcript is spliced from 5 exons. Lineage: Eukaryota; Metazoa; Chordata; Mammalia; Rodentia; Bathyergidae.
UUUUAAUUUAUUUGUUUGCUCAUUUUUUGUAUCUGGAAGCUUAGUUUUGUUUUUUGGGGUACAUGGUCACCUUACUGUUUCUCAUUGCUUUUCAAUUUUUUUUUCAAAUAUUCUUUAUACCAAAUUUUUUGCAAAUAUUAAUAGUUUUGAUUUCUCCCUUUCUAAUUGGUCCUGAUUCUGAUAAAGUUCACAGUCUGGUACUUUCAGAGCACUUAGACGUUGCGGAAAUAUUACCCACCCUUGAUUUAAAUGGGUUGCAGUAGCAUGUUUUCAGGGUUUGAACAGCACAUUUCUGCUGAUCUAUUUCCCCCAAAGAGGGGACCACCCAAAAGAGCUAUGACCAAGCAAAGCAGAGUUAAUAAACUCACUGCAGCAAGGGAAAACACCGCCUUGACAGGGUUUAGUAACAUCUCCAGAACAGGACUGAGGGCUUGGCGGUCUGGGCUGAUGUGGCUUAAGGUGGGAACUGGUAGGGAUGGGCAGAAUUCAACAAGCCUACUUGGUUGGUGGGAAAGCAUGAUGUGGUCCUCAGCAGGAGCCUGCAUCUUCAAGUCAUGUGUUCUCUAAGGGAGCUGCUUGCUGAGGUACAAUGUGAUCGAUAGAAGACCUCUUUGCCUAGAUGAGGAAGCUGAAUUUAUUUAUCGGCGUACAGUUUUAUCUUGCUGAGCUGGAUGUUGCUGGGGUGGUAUGAGUUCUUAUUCCCAAUAGAAUGGGGUUUAAAGCUCUAACGUCAUGAGUGGAGAAGUGUACACAUAAAUGAACUGAUCUGAACUCUCCCUUGUUUUUGGUUGUUUGAAAUAGAAGGAAAGCUGUGUCAGUGCUGGGGAUCCAAUCCAUAGCCUCAUGCAUGAUAAGCCAGUACUCUGCUCCUGAGCUACACCUCCAGUCGAAUGUGAUGAAUGUGAUGAACUUAAAAAUACUCAUUACAAUCCUAAACAGUCACUAAAAAUGAGAGAAAGACAGCUAAAAUAAUCAUAACAAACUUAAACUGAGACAAUAAAAAGUAUUAAUCCAAAGGACUGCAGGAAAGAAUAAAGAAAGGAACAAAGAGACACAUAGAGAACCAAUGGCAGAACGGUGGGCCUGGAUCCAGUCAUACUAGCUAUUAUUUUAUACGCUUGUGUUUCAUUGCCUUGAUACUAGAACUUUACAACUUGGAGAGAACUUUACACAAAUUUAAGAAAAUAAUUUAGGAUGAUGGAAAACCCCAGGAUGGAAUACCGAAUGUUGCAAAAUAACCCAGCUGUAUUGCAAACAUACAAAAUAACCUUACUGGCAAGGGUGAGUAGGGUGGAAGAGAUGCUGACUGAAAAGUUUUGGAAGACUCAGUGGAAUCUGUAAAACUAAAGACAAAUAAACCUGGCUGGCAGCAAAUGCACCAUUACGUGUAUCAAGCUUUGAUAACUGACUGAUUCAGAUGGACCCUUGGUCUAGUGAAGACUCUUCGGAGACACUUGGUUCAUUUUUUCAGACCACGUGAACAUCGUUAUGGUUCUUCUUCUUUAAGAGUUGCUCCUGAGGAGAUUUUCGCAUUUUACCUAAGCUUGCUUUGACCAAACAGUGAGAAAAUUUUGUGAUUCAUUGUUAUCAUUUGUAUGGUGCUGUAUUUCUUUGGGUCUAAAUAUGCAAGUACAUAAAUUCAUCUCUGUUACAUUGUUUGGCCUGCACUGUGAUAAUAGAAAUCACAGAAGACAAUGAGGAAGAUGCAAGAGAUGUCGUCUAACUCUGAAGCUUUCUCAAGAGGACCUUCCCUACUCCAUAACAUUGAACAAGAAAUAAUUGGUGGCGCACAGCUGUAAUUCCAGCACUCAGGAGGCUGAGGCAGGAGGAUCGCUGAGAGUUCAAGACCAGCCUGAGCAACACAGUGAACUACACAGUGAGACCCUGUCUCAGAAAAAGAAAUGGCAAAUGGUGCAAGUGAAUGGGCAACAUUGAUGUGAUAAGGGAACCGCCGGUACUAGAACUGGAGAGACUCAUGUAUCUUUCUCCUACCCCGACAUCUUCUUACCUUUCAUUGCAGUUAGUGGAGCCAUGCACGCCAUCUCUACUGAUUUUUCUUAUCUUACCCUAUCGCAGAAAAACAUCCAAGAUGGGGCUAUUUCUGGCCUUCCUUCUGUCUCUUCCUUUUCUUCUCAGAUUCCUAUGCAAAUAAGUCCUCUAUUCUAAUAAUGUGGCUGUUUCUAAAUGUGCUUGCCAGUCUAUUAGGAAGGGUCCAGCUGUGUAAGGCACGGGCUGCUGUGUUUGUAUGCUUGGUGGUAUGACUCGGAGCCCCGGCAUGCCGGGUUCGGGUUGGUAAAUCCAUCCCUGCGGAGGUGAAGAGUGGCCACAGGAGGGCAGCGUUCUCGCCUCUGCUGGAGCAGUGCCCCGGAUUACGUGGAACAGACCCAUCUCUGCAGGGCCCACAAACAAAUGGCAGUGCUUCAGGAAAGGGAUCAAUACCAUUGUUCUGACUUAGAACAAAAGAAAAACCUGGGCCAUGCAUAGAAUCUCUACUUUUAGCUCAAAUAUAAUUAUAUAACAAGUAAUUAAAAGUAGAAAUGUGGGGCCUAAUGUAGAUGGGACAUUCACACCAUACUAUUCGCAUUUUAUCUAUAGGAAAGGAGGGACACUCUAACAAGGAGGGUAUAGGUUUGUACAUGACUUGAGAGAAGUAAAAAAGCUGUGCUGCUUCUGACAUCUGUGGCCCCCAACCUCGCUGCUGAAUGCCUGUUCCUGAUUUAAUGAAGUGUGUUCCCAUGACAGACUUACAUUCAACUUUGAGUAUGGAGACUUUUACAAGGAGGUCAAGGCUUACUUGACUUGAUUUGCGUUUACCUACUCACGGUGGAGUCUUCAUAUUUGUGGUCAUGAAUCUCCAUGAUUCAAAUUCACCCACGAUAUCCUCUUGGUAUUUGCAUAAAAGUCAGUGAAAUUCCCUUGAGUUUCCAUCCUAAUUACUAUGGGUAGUUGAUAAUAUUUUGCAUGCUACUAAAGCAGACAUCUUAGUCGUACUAAACUUCUUAGGGUCCUGGGACAUACAGCCUCCCUGGAUUAGUUGAAAUGCUGUCAAACUAAAGUGAGAUAUUUGGGAUGUGGACGGUGGUUGUAUUUCGAAGCCAUCCUAACAUGAAAAUGAAGUAACAUGCUGCAAAAUGAAUCAACUUACCCAGUUUUGAGAGUUGGUGGUCAAUUCUCACAUCUUGUCGGACUGAGCCUCACUGAGCUGUUGGGUGAGGUGUCAUCAGGACUUUCUCUUAUAAUCAAAAGAAGCCAGGAGUGUCACAUCCUUGAAGUAGGAGUUAUUUCUCUACCUGCAUCAAACGUUGUAACUAUGAUCAACUGUUCUAGCUUUUCUGCCAUGAGACUUCAGGUGCUUCUAAUGAUGUGCUUCCCCCAAAUUAGGCCUUGAUAUAGGGACACUGUUUAGUUUCUAGGUUAUUGGUUUCUGUUGCUAUGGGGUACCGUGAUGUUUACAGCAGCAGCCACAAUCCUGACCAAAGAGGCUCAGGCUUUGACUCUGGGGAAUUUGACUUGUACCUCAGGCUGCUUUAUUUCGAAAGUUCAUGGGACGCAAUUCCUGGCACACUGGAUACACAUGUAUCUUUACUGUGUGACCCUAACACUAUUCUAGGCAGGUAGAAAUUCGCCAGCAGCUCUGUGGCCAGUUCCUGAUAAUACAGGUCGAACAUGCCUCAUGGUUGUGGAGGAGGACACCAGACUUUAGCCACUCUCUUUAAUAUUGCUGUCCCCACGCUGCCUAAGCACCCCUGAUUUAGCCUGUGUUAGAGUCUUUGCAUGAGAGUUAACCCUCACGAAGUGCCCAAGUGGCAGAGCUCGUAACUGAACCCAGCCUUAAAUCAGCUGUUGUACACCUCGUAAUUGUGUAUUUGUGGUCUAUUAUGUGACUGUCAACUUGGGAAGAGGAGGGGCUUCCUAACAUCUAUAGAAACUGAACUAUUACAUAGGAAACUACUGGUAUAUGAGAGUCAUUCAAACUUCUCUAACGGAUUCGUGUAAUUUAUUGUAGAAUUCACAAUGGAAAACACAAUGAAAUAUCAAGAACAUUGCAAACCAACCUGCAAAAGUGUUACUAGGAUUUGGGCUGGGGAAACUGAACACCCAUGAUACGCCCACUCACGAGCUCCUGCUUAUAGUUUGAGAAGUAGCCAACUUGCUAAGAAUUAGGAAAUCAGAAAGCAAGGAAAGCUAAGAAGACUACCACAGAAAAUAUAUAUUUCACGUGUCUGUACCUUUACUCCAAUUGCUGUGAAUCGAAGAGCUUUUUCAAGCCCACCAACAAACUAAGCAAAAGGAGCACACUGAAAACUUUGCAGUCUCACAAUAAUUGUAAUUGCAGCAAACAAUUCAGGAAAUACUACAAAAACAUAAUGUUUUUCAGAAAGAGAUUCUUUUUUUGUUUUGGGGUUUUUUUU